AUUUUUUUCAAGAGGCUUAUUUGCUGGAGUCCAUGAAGCCGAUCACUGACGCUGGUUGCCACUUGAAACAGAGCGGCACAUGAAGGGUAUUGAAAACUCAUACAAAUCUUUUCUAGAUAACGUCGCAUUAUCAAGAUCAUUAAGCGCAUAUCACACCAAACAGAUUGCUGAGAGAAGGAUUUGGACUGGCAAGGAAGCAUUAUCCAAUGGUCUAAUCGAUGCAUAUGGAGGACUUUCGCAUGCUAUUUAUAUAGCAAAAGUGAAAGCAAAAAUACCCGCGGAUACACUUGUUAGACUUGAGGACCUGUCCAGGCAUGAUCAGUCUGUUUUUGAGGCUUUAAGGCGUCACAUCAUUCAGUUUGCUGUAUUCGUGUUUGAGAUGUUUGAGGAGUUGUACAGGAAGAUGGAGAGAUGAUACCCUAGAGCUGGAUAAUGAGGGUGGGAGAGAUGAUGAUACUAAGAGCUGGAUAAUGAAGGUGGUGAAAUUUGUUCUCUUGUGGCUUUGUGCAGAGCAAGGGAAGGAAGGGUUAAACUAAUUUUUUGAGCUAAUUUGACAUAGAUGCUUCUGUUUAAUUUUUUGAGCUAAUUUGACAAGCUGCUUGAAUUAGUUGUGCAUCAUUAAAACUAUUCUAGCUUGUAAAGUGAUCUGUGAUGGUUCGGAAUGUACAGACUGCAGAAGAUAUUAUCUUUGGAAUGUACUUAAAAGUGACGUGAUAUUAGUUUUAUGAGGCUCUGGAAGUAGUUUUCGGUA
This is an RNA transcript of Medicago truncatula (barrel medic), 751 nucleotides long. RefSeq lists it as uncharacterized. NCBI's taxonomy places the organism in Eukaryota, Viridiplantae, Streptophyta, Magnoliopsida, Fabales, Fabaceae. The transcript has 3 exons. The record is from RefSeq and is a predicted model, not a curated record.